Molecule: transfer RNA, 84 nt
Filed under: Gemmatimonadales bacterium
Lineage: Bacteria; Pseudomonadati; Gemmatimonadota; Gemmatimonadia; Gemmatimonadales
Description: tRNA-Leu
Rfam family: tRNA
About the family: Transfer RNA (tRNA) molecules are approximately 80 nucleotides in length. Their secondary structure includes four short double-helical elements and three loops (D, anti-codon, and T loops).
Source: RNAcentral
GCCGGGGUGGUGGAGUUGGUAGACACGCCAGACUUAGGAUCUGGUGCUCGUGAGGGCGUGCAGGUUCGAGACCUGUCCCCGGCA